UCAACAUCUUCAACAUACCAAAACUUUGCAAUGAAUAAAAAAUGAAUUCAUUCAGCAAAAUGGUAUAAGUAGAUAACAAAUGUAGCUGAGACCCAGGUUUGUUCAUCAGAUAAAAAUUAAUUUUGAAAAGAACAUACCUUAAGGUCAAUGUUUAUUUUCAAAAAAAAAAAAAAAAAAAAAAAAAAAAAAAAAACCUAACUGUAUCGUUCUCGUUAAUCGUUCAAUUGCAAUUCUUGAUUGCUGCAAGUGAUUCCCUAAUUAUUUACUACAAUUGAAAAUGCCAUCACUCAAUAAAAUUACAAGCUAAAAUAAAAUGAAAAACUAACUAGUAGAUUACUUCACAGCAGCCAGAUUUUUAAAAAACAAGAUUUCCCUGGAGAU
Molecule: non-coding RNA, 381 nt
Organism: Schizosaccharomyces pombe (fission yeast)
Lineage: Eukaryota; Fungi; Ascomycota; Schizosaccharomycetes; Schizosaccharomycetales; Schizosaccharomycetaceae
Source: the annotation of a GenBank genome assembly